UGGGGAAUAUUGGGCAAUGGGGGAAACCCUGACCCAGCAACGCCGCGUGAGGGAAGAAGGUUUUCGGAUUGUAAACCUCUGUCCUAAAGGACGAAAAAAAUGACGGUACUUUAGGAGGAAGCCCCGGCUAACUACGUGCCAGCAGCCGCGGUAAUACGUAGGGGGCGAGCGUUGUCCGGAAUUAUUGGGCGUAAAGGGUGCGUAGGCGGCCAAAUAAGUCAGAUGUGAAAUACCGGGGCUUAACUCCGGGGCUGCAUUUGAAACUAUAUGGCUGGAGUACAGGAGAGGGAAGCGGAAUUCCUAGUGUAGCGGUGAAAUGCACAGAUAUUAGGAGGAACACCAGUGGCGAAGGCGGCUUUCUGGACUGUAACUGACGCUGAGGCACGAAAGCGUGGGGAGCAAACA
Molecule: ribosomal RNA, 405 nt
Filed under: uncultured prokaryote
Description: bacterial SSU rRNA
Rfam family: Bacterial small subunit ribosomal RNA
Source: RNAcentral